GACGAACGCUGGCGGCGUGCUUAACACAUGCAAGUCGAACGGAAAGGCCUCUUUCGGGGGGUACUCGAGUGGCGAACGGGUGAGUAACACGUGAGUAACCUGCCCUUGACUUUGGGAUAACUUCAGGAAACUGGGGCUAAUACCGGAUAGGAGCUCCUGCUGCAUGGUGGGGGUUGGAAAGUUUCGGCGGUUGGGGAUGGACUCGCGGCUUAUCAGCUUGUUGGGGGGGUAGUGGCUUACCAAGGCUUUGACGGGUAGCCGGCCUGAGAGGGUGACCGGCCGCAAUUGGACUCAGGUACGUGCCAGACUCCUACGGGAGGCAGCAGUGGGGAAUAUUGCACAAUGGGUGGAAGCCUGAUGCAGCAACGCCGUGUGCGGGAUGACGGCCUUCGGGUUGUAAACCGCUUUCGCUCAUGACGAAGCUUUGUGUGACGGUAGUGGGUAAAGAAGCACCGGCUAACUACGUG
RNAcentral lists this ribosomal RNA (467 nucleotides) under uncultured bacterium. RNAcentral describes it as "partial 16S ribosomal RNA". It matches the Rfam family "Bacterial small subunit ribosomal RNA", at positions 28 to 507 of the family's 1533-position model. The record is from RNAcentral.